This 255-nucleotide ribosomal RNA is filed under the name uncultured bacterium. RNAcentral describes it as "partial 16S ribosomal RNA". It matches the Rfam family "Bacterial small subunit ribosomal RNA", at positions 524 to 776 of the family's 1533-position model. The record is from RNAcentral.
UACGUAGGGUGCGAGCGUUUGUCCGGAAUUAUUGGGCGUAAAGAGCUUGUAGGCGGUCUGUCGCGUCUGCUGUGAAAAUCCGGGGCUCAACCCCGGACUUGCAGUGGGUACGGGCAGACUAGAGUGUGGUAGGGGAGACUGGAAUUCCUGGUGUAGCGGUGAAAUGCGCAGAUAUCAGGAGGAACACCGAUGGCGAAGGCAGGUCUCUGGGCAUUAACUGACGCUGAGGAGCGAAAAGCAUGGGGAGCGAACAGG